GAUGAGCGCUGGCGGCGUGCCUAAUACAUGCAAGUCGAGCGAACGGACGAGGAGCUUGCUUCUCUGAUGUUAGCGGCGGACGGGUGAGUAACACGUGGAUAACCUACCUAUAAGACUGGGAUAACUUCGGGAAACCGGAGCUAAUCCCGGAUAAUAUUUUGAACCGCAUGGUUCAAAAGUGAAAGACGGCCUUGCUGUCACUUAUAGAUGGAUCCGCGCUGCAUUAGCUAGUUGGUAAGGUAACGGCUUACCAAGGCAACGAUGCGUAGCCGACCUCAGAGGGUGAUCGGCCACCCUGGAACUGAGACACGGUCCAGACUCCUACAGGAGGCAGCAGUAGGGAAUCUUCCGCAAUGGGCGAAAGCCUGACGGAGCAACGCCGCGUGAGUGAUGAAGGUCUUCGGAUCGUAAAACUCUGUUAUUAGUGAAGAACAUAUGUGUAAGUAACUGUGCACAUCUUGACGGUACCUAAUCAGAAAGCCACGGCUAACUACGUG
Molecule: ribosomal RNA, 497 nt
Filed under: uncultured bacterium
Lineage: Bacteria
Description: partial 16S ribosomal RNA
Rfam family: Bacterial small subunit ribosomal RNA
Source: RNAcentral